This 426-nucleotide ribosomal RNA is filed under the name uncultured bacterium. RNAcentral's name for it is "partial 16S ribosomal RNA". It matches the Rfam family "Bacterial small subunit ribosomal RNA", at positions 354 to 796 of the family's 1533-position model. The record is from RNAcentral.
GCAAGGAAUUUUGUGCAAUGGGCGAAAGCCUGACACAGCAACGCCGCGUGAGGGAUGACGGCCUUCGGGUUGUAAACCUCUUUUCUCAGGGAAGAAUAAUGACGGUACCUGAGGAAUAAGCUUCGGCUAACUACGUGCUAGCAGCCGCGGUAAUACGUAGGAAGCGAGCGUUAUCCGAAUUUACUGGGCGUAAGGUGGGCGUAGGCGGCCUUUCAAGUUGGAUGUGAAAUCUCCUGGCUUAACUGGGAGGGGUCAUACAAUACUGCUAGGCUGGAGGACAGCAGGGGAAAGUGGAAUUCCCGGUGUAGUGGUGAAAUGCGUAGAUAUCGGGAGGAACACCAGUGGCGAAGGCGGCUUUCUAGGCUGUUUCUGACGCUGAGGCCCUAAAGUGUGGGGAGCGAACAGGAUUAGAAACCCCAGUAGUCC